CACCCGCGGGGACACGCCGGAGCUUGUCCGCCAGCCUAGGGCUGGAGGAUGGAGCCCACCUUGGUACCCGCCCCGCCUUGCCCGCCUGGCACCCGGCGCGGGAGGGGCAGGCCCUGGUUUGGAGGGAGCUGCUGCAUAGCAGUGUGUACAGUACGAGUCCUCGCCCUCCUCAAGCUUACGUUCUUGUUGGAGAAGGAAAAUGUACCCACAAAAUAAUUAAAAAGCAAUGCUAAGCGCUA
Lemur catta (Ring-tailed lemur) is the source of this 239-nucleotide long non-coding RNA. RefSeq lists it as uncharacterized. The transcript is spliced from 2 exons. Lineage: Eukaryota; Metazoa; Chordata; Mammalia; Primates; Lemuridae. The record is from RefSeq and is a predicted model, not a curated record.